GACGAACGCUGGCGGCGUGCUUAACACAUGCAAGUCGAACGGAAAGGCCCUGCUUUUGUGGGGUGCUCGAGUGGCGAACGGGUGAGUAACACGUGAGUAACCUGCCCUUGACUUUGGGAUAACUUCAGGAAACUGGGGCUAAUACCGGAUAGGAGCUCCUGCUGCAUGGUGGGGGUUGGAAAGUUUCGGCGGUUGGGGAUGGACUCGCGGCUUAUCAGCUUGUUGGUGGGGUAGUGGCUUACCAAGGCUUUGACGGGUAGCCGGCCUGAGAGGGUGAGCGGCCAGAUUGGGACUAAGAUACGGCCCGGACGCCGACGGGAGGCAGCAGUGGGGAAUAUUGCAUAAUGGGCGGAAGCCUGAUGCAGCAACGCCGCUUGAGGGAUGACGGACUGCGUGUUGUAAACCGCUUUCGCCUGUGACGAAGCGUGAGUGGCGGUAAUGGGUAAAGAAGCACCGGCUAACUACGUG
RNAcentral lists this ribosomal RNA (468 nucleotides) under uncultured bacterium. Its description in RNAcentral is "partial 16S ribosomal RNA". It matches the Rfam family "Bacterial small subunit ribosomal RNA", at positions 28 to 507 of the family's 1533-position model. The record is from RNAcentral.